GCAGCGGGUUAGAUGGCAGAUACACAAAUUUUAAAUGCAUAAAAAAAGUUCAGAAAGUGAAGUUGAUAUUGUUUAAAGAAAAAAAAUUCUCGUUUUAACGAAACAGUGGUGGUGAUCUUUCUUUAUUCCAUCAACCAGAGAGACUUUAUCCACAAGGUCUGAUGUUGAAAUGGAAAGUCCUGAAAUCAACUAUAACAUAGGAGAUUAUAUAAUUGAUCCUUUAGCAGGUAAGAUAAGUUACCACUAUCAACACUUUAUAGUAAAAAUUGAUAAGGUAGGCAUUCCCAACUCAAAAUUCAGUGUAAGUUUCUUCAAAAUCAAGAACAAGUGUAAAACAUUUACCUUUUCUAACAUUUCUGACCAUUUACCAAUUAAUGAAAAUGAAAUCAUUUAUAAAAUUUUACAUCAGCCUACAUGUGAAAAGAGC
This 427-nucleotide long non-coding RNA is filed under the name Androctonus crassicauda. Lineage: Eukaryota; Metazoa; Arthropoda; Arachnida; Scorpiones; Buthidae. The record is from RNAcentral.